UGAAUCCAAACGUCGAGCGGAGAGCAGCUGGUUAAGGCCCAAUAUGUAGAGAGGCUGUGGUGAGUUCCCCUUGUGUGCUCUGGAAUACUCAGAGGACAUCAAAGCUCAUCACUACCACCCUGGUGCCAGGUUUCUUUUGGCACGAGGAGAGCUCAGCUCUGAACUUAGUU
Molecule: long non-coding RNA, 170 nt
Organism: Nothoprocta perdicaria
Lineage: Eukaryota; Metazoa; Chordata; Aves; Tinamiformes; Tinamidae
Exons: 3
Source: RefSeq, a predicted model, not a curated record